Molecule: long non-coding RNA, 809 nt
Filed under: Homo sapiens (human)
Lineage: Eukaryota; Metazoa; Chordata; Mammalia; Primates; Hominidae
Description: non-protein coding lnc-LDLRAD2-2:1
Source: RNAcentral
GGCACAAGAGACACUUCUGGGGUGAUGGUUCCCUGGGCAUACAUAUCUCAUUACUGACUGUACCCUGAAAAUGGGUAUAUUUUGUUGUGUGUAUUUAUGCCUAAAUAAGGAUGACUAGAAAGAAACUCUCUUUGUCCCGACUCCUUGCUGUUCACAGUGACCUCAACCCCAGUCUGGUUCUGGGCUAACUUUAGUGAGUCUCUACUGUAUGCACUGGGCAUCCACACCCACCAUCUCAGUCCAUGUGAACAACACGUGGAAGGCAGUGACUUUGAUCUGUUUUGAGCAUUGCUGCAACUCCACAACAGAAAACACACAGUAGGUACUAAUAAAUCUGCGGACUCACGGACAAACCAAAUGAAUGAACCUGCCCAACAGCCCUGAGGUGGAAAUUAACCCACCUGACAGAAGAAAGCUAACUUCAGAAGGAGACUUGCCCAAGAUUACACAGCUUGAAAGUGCCAGAAUUACCUCUAGUCCUCAGUUCCCAUUAAUACGACAGAGGCCAUAACACUUCAUCCUAAGGGAAAGAGGGGACUAGGUCACACGGGCCCUGAAAUCCGUUCCAAGACACCCCUGUCCCUGCAGAACAAUCCCUCCAAGAAUUAGUUCUCUCCGCUAUGAAAUGGGAGCAAAAGGCCGGGCAUGGUGGCUCACGCCUGUAGUCCCCGCACUUUGGGAGGCAGAGGCAGGCGGAUCACCUGAGGUCAGGAGUUCGAGACUAGCCUGGCCAACAUGGUGAAACCCCAUCUCUACUAAAAAUACAAAAAUUAUCUGGGCGUGGUGGCGUGCGCCUGUAAUCCCAGCUA